This 448-nucleotide ribosomal RNA is filed under the name uncultured Streptococcus sp. RNAcentral's name for it is "bacterial SSU rRNA". It matches the Rfam family "Bacterial small subunit ribosomal RNA", at positions 935 to 1382 of the family's 1533-position model. Lineage: Bacteria; Bacillati; Bacillota; Bacilli; Lactobacillales; Streptococcaceae. The record is from RNAcentral.
AGGCAUGUGGUUUAAUUCGAAGCAACGCGAAGAACCUUACCAGGUCUUGACUAUCCCGAUGCUAUUUCUAGAGAUAGAAAGUUACUUCGGUACAUCGGUGACAGGUGGUGCAUGGUUGUCGUCAGCUCGUGUCGUGAGAUGUUGGGUUAAGUCCCGCAACGAGCGCAACCCCUAUUGUUAGUUGCCAUCAUUCAGUUGGGCACUCUAGCGAGACUGCCGGUAAUAAACCGGAGGAAGGUGGGGACGACGUCAAAUCAUCAUGCCCCUUAUGACCUGGGCUACACACGUGCUACAAUGGUUGGUACAACGAGUUGCGAGUCGGUGACGGCGAGCUAAUCUCUUAAAGCCAAUCUCAGUUUGGAUUGUAGGCUGCAACUCGCCUACAUGAAGUCGGAAUCGCUAGUAAUCGCGGAUCAGCACGCCGCGGUCGAAUACGUUCCCGGGCCUU